This 266-nucleotide long non-coding RNA is filed under the name Elaeis guineensis (African oil palm). RNAcentral describes it as "long non-coding RNA (EGUI_LNC043597)". The record is from RNAcentral. Lineage: Eukaryota; Viridiplantae; Streptophyta; Magnoliopsida; Arecales; Arecaceae.
AUGCUAACAAUUAGCAGUUUUUAAAUUUGUAACUCUUUACAAAUUGAUCCAAAUCAUUAAUCUAAUUGAUAAUUUGAUCAUAAUCCAAGCUAUUGAUCAGGAUGAGUUCUUUUUGUAUGUGAUCCCUCAGGUUCUAUUCUGUUUGGUAGUGAAAUAUAUUGUAAUCUCUAUCACAGUAUCAUCGAAACUCCUUUCGAUGGGUUGGAACAAUUCCAACUCACCCCACAACGAUCGUUAAUCCGAAAACGAUCCUAGUGAGUUCUCAC